Molecule: ribosomal RNA, 700 nt
Filed under: uncultured Oxalobacteraceae bacterium
Lineage: Bacteria; Pseudomonadati; Pseudomonadota; Betaproteobacteria; Burkholderiales; Oxalobacteraceae
Description: bacterial SSU rRNA
Rfam family: Bacterial small subunit ribosomal RNA
Source: RNAcentral
GUCGAACGGCAGCACGGACUUCGGUCUGGUGGCGAGUGGCGAACGGGUGAGUAAUAUAUCGGAACAUACCCUAGAGUGGGGGAUAACGUAGCGAAAGUUACGCUAAUACCGCAUACGCACUAAGGUGGAAAGUGGGGGAUCGCAAGACCUCAUGCUCAUGGAGUGGCCGAUAUCUGAUUAGCUAGUUGGUGAGGUAAAGGCUCACCAAGGCGACGAUCAGUAGCUGGUUUGAGAGAACGACCAGCCACACUGGAACUGAGACACGGUCCAGACUCCUACGGGAGGCAGCAGUGGGGAAUUUUGGACAAUGGGCGCAAGCCUGAUCCAGCAAUGCCGCGUGAGUGAAGAAGGCCUUCGGGUUGUAAAGCUCUUUUGUCAGGGAAGAAACGGUAUCUCCUAAUACGGGGUGCUAAUGACGGUACCUGAAGAAUAAGCACCGGCUAACUACGUGCCAGCAGCCGCGGUAAUACGUAGGGUGCAAGCGUUAAUCGGAAUUACUGGGCGUAAAGCGUGCGCAGGCGGUUAUAUAAGUCAGAUGUGAAAUCCCCGGGCUCAACCUGGGAACUGCAUUUGAGACUGUAUGGCUAGAGUGUGUCAGAGGGGGGUAGAAUUCCACGUGUAGCAGUGAAAUGCGUAGAUAUGUGGAGGAAUACCGAUGGCGAAGGCAGCCCCCUGGGAUAACACUGACGCUCAUGCACGA